RNAcentral lists this ribosomal RNA (173 nucleotides) under Arhopala achelous. RNAcentral describes it as "partial 16S large subunit ribosomal RNA". Lineage: Eukaryota; Metazoa; Arthropoda; Insecta; Lepidoptera; Lycaenidae. The record is from RNAcentral.
UAAAUUAAAUUUACUUUUUAAAAAUCUAAUUUUCAACUAUUUCAAAUUUCUAUAACUAUACUAAUUUACUAUAAAUUUUUUUAAUUUUUUCUAUUAAAAUACUUUAACCCCCAUUAUGUAUAUUAAUAUUAAAAUUAUUUUUAUUAAAUUUAUAUUAUUAAUUUAUAAUUUAU